This 525-nucleotide ribosomal RNA is filed under the name Triticum aestivum (bread wheat). RNAcentral describes it as "partial small subunit ribosomal RNA". Lineage: Eukaryota; Viridiplantae; Streptophyta; Magnoliopsida; Poales; Poaceae. The record is from RNAcentral.
AUGUCGCAGCUGGAUCCGCAUCGACGCGUCACUAUCUGCAACGACACUACUCCGCAACUGGCAUCUCAUGGACUGUUUGAUGUAUAUGUCAAGGCGAUGGGUGACACACACAUUGAUGAUCAUCACUCAAAUGAGGAUAUUGCUUUAGCAAUUGGAACGGCAUUACUUCAAGCACUUGGUGACAGAAAAGGGAUUAACAGGUUUGGGCAUUUUACAACACCACUUGAUGAGGCAGCAGUUGAGGAUAUACUGGGUCUAUAUGGUCGACCUCAUUUGAGCUGCGGCUUAAGUAUUCCUACCGAGAGAGUUGGCACAUAUGAUACACAGGCAUUACUUCAAGCACUUGGUGACAAAAAAGGGAUUAACAGGUUUGGGCAUUUUACAGCACCACUUGAUGAGGCAGCAGUUGAGGAUAUACUGGGUCUAUCUGGUCGACCUCAUUUGAGCUGCGGCUUAAGUAUUCCUACCGAAAGAGUUGGCACAUAUGAUACACAGAUCUUUCCCAACCCUAAAUAUUCUCGCUGA